RNAcentral lists this ribosomal RNA (472 nucleotides) under uncultured bacterium. RNAcentral describes it as "bacterial SSU rRNA". It matches the Rfam family "Bacterial small subunit ribosomal RNA", at positions 355 to 825 of the family's 1533-position model. The record is from RNAcentral.
UGGGGAAUAUUGGACAAUGGGCGAAAGCCUGAUCCAGCGACGCCGCGUGUGUGAAGAAGGCCUGCGGGUUGUAAAGCACUUUCGAUGGGAACGAAAUGUGCCGGGUUAAUACCCCGGUAAGCUGACGUUACUCAAUGAAGAAGCACCGGCUAACUCUGUGCCAGCAGCCGCGGUAAUACAGAGGGUGCGAGCGUUAAUCGGAAUUACUGGGCGUAAAGCGCACGUAGGUGGCGACGUAAGUCGGGUGUGAAAGCCCCGGGCUCAACCUGGGAACUGCGUCUGAUACUGGAGGGCUUGAGUAUGGGAGAGGGAUGUAGAAUUCCAGGUGUAGCGGUGAAAUGCGUAGAUAUCUGGAGGAAUACCGGUGGCGAAGGCGGCAUCCUGGACCAUUACUGACGCUGAGGCACGAAAGCUAGGGGAGCAAACGGGAUUAGAUACCCAAGUAGUCCCUGAGCGGGCUGGCAAGGCGCAU